GAUGAAGAACGCAGCGAAAUGCGAUAAGUAAUGUGAAUUGCAGAAUUCAGUGAAUCAUCGAAUCUUUGAACGCACAUUGCGCCCGCCAGUAUUCUGGCGGGCAUGCCUGUUCGAGCGUCAUUACAACCCUCAGGCCCCCGGGCCUGGCGUUGGGGAUCGGCGGAGCCCCCCGUGGGCACACGCCGUCCCCCAAAUGCAGUGGCGGUCCCGCCGCAGCUUCCAUCGCGUAGUAGCUAACACCUCGCGACUGGAGAGCGGCGCGGCCACGCCGUAAAACACCCAACUCUUCUGAAGUUGACCUCGAAUCAGGUAGGAAUACCCGCUGAACUUAAGCACAUCAAUAAGCGGAGGA
Molecule: unclassified non-coding RNA, 352 nt
Filed under: soil metagenome
Description: partial contains 5.8S ribosomal RNA, internal transcribed spacer 2, and large subunit ribosomal RNA
Rfam family: 5.8S ribosomal RNA (bases 1-120)
Source: RNAcentral